AGAUCCUGAAGAUAGAAAAGGAACAUCAGAAAAAUCAGAUAUUUAUGCCUUCGGUGUUGUACUUUUAGAACUGAUUACCGGCAUAGAUUCCAGGAAGAAAGGCGCUAAUAAUAUUAUUAACGGGAUAAAGACUCUAAUGAGACCAGCAAUGAAAAGAGAAUAUACUACUAUUUUUGAUCCUACAUUGCAAGGUAAUUAUAAUAGAAUAGAAAUGGAUCGAAUGCUUUAUUGUGCCGCUGCUUGUGUUUAUAAACCUUCGGCAUUUCGUCCGCAGAUAAAGAAGAUAGUUGGAGUUCUUGAAGGAAGUAUUCCCUGGAAGGAUAUAUGGGAUGAGAGUGACGAUCAAAUCUUAUCGGAUGCUAU
Long non-coding RNA from Manihot esculenta (cassava), 363 nucleotides. RefSeq lists it as uncharacterized. The record is from RefSeq and is a predicted model, not a curated record. Lineage: Eukaryota; Viridiplantae; Streptophyta; Magnoliopsida; Malpighiales; Euphorbiaceae. The transcript is spliced from 3 exons.